Molecule: transfer RNA, 62 nt
Filed under: Lens contradens
Lineage: Eukaryota; Metazoa; Mollusca; Bivalvia; Unionida; Unionidae
Description: tRNA-Leu
Source: RNAcentral
GAGGGGUGGCAGAAAAUAUGCCUUAGGCCUAAGACCUAAAAAUGAGGUUAACUCCCCCUCCA